UUUUGACUAACUUACCUCAAUUUGAUGUGGAAAUGAGGUCAGAUGAGCUGAAAAAGAUCAAGAAGGUGGUGCAGAAGAGAAAGAAAGCAUCAGGCGCUAUCAAGGCCCAACUGAAGUACCCAUGCAUCGAAGCUUUUGGGUGGAAGAGCCGACCCUAGCCUGACACGAGGCCAACGGACAGUGGAAAGCUUGUUGGCCUAUAUCGAUGUGGUUCUUGCUUCCUUAGUUUGAGUCCACUUGCUGGGUGUGGAGCCACCACUCCGAUCUCCAUCACCUGCUCCCCGAGAGGGAGGGGGCCUUCACAGUCAUCUUCCUGAGUUGGAGCUCCUAGGUCGGGCCCGACCCCUGCUUCGGUCGAGUAGGGGUUGUGCAUCCCAUUAGUUCAACCAGCCUCCGACUCAUCACUAGAGAGCUGGAGGGUCGCUCAUUAUCUGGUUCAUGGGCUUCUUCUUUCGAUCGAUGCCAAGAAGCUUAAGGAAGCAGGCUCUAGCACCCAGUAGAGGAAUGUAGUGAAUCCUUCAUCCAAGUAAGUCAUCUUCUAUUCAUUUUUUCUUAUCUUGCUCUUUAUUUAUUGUUGCUUCUUUAGACUAACUGACCUUUUUGUUUCCUCCCCUUUUUUUGUGGUAGCUUGGCCACUAUAUGGCCAUUUUCAUGAAAUCAAUCAAGUUGGCAAGGUUGAAAGUUUGCCGAGGCUCUUUGUAGAGCUGAGGUAGUGGAAAAGAGGGCCCCUAAGGUAGAGGAGGUCAAGAAGAAGGCCCAAACUGAGGCUGAGACUGAGAUGAAGUGCCUGAGGGAGGUGCUUAAGAAGGUCAAGACAGAGCUUGCCUCAAAAAAGAAGGUCGUCGGAUGAUGGAGGCAUUCCCAGCCUCUAAGAAUUUCAUCGAGGACAAGACCAACCAUGCCGUGAGUCCUAUAUUAUCAGUUUAGGAGUAUGCCGGUAGAAGGUCCUUAAGCGCUUGCCCG
RNAcentral lists this long non-coding RNA (963 nucleotides) under Elaeis guineensis (African oil palm). Its description in RNAcentral is "long non-coding RNA (EGUI_LNC030732)". Lineage: Eukaryota; Viridiplantae; Streptophyta; Magnoliopsida; Arecales; Arecaceae. The record is from RNAcentral.